RNAcentral lists this ribosomal RNA (206 nucleotides) under uncultured bacterium. RNAcentral describes it as "partial 16S ribosomal RNA". It matches the Rfam family "Bacterial small subunit ribosomal RNA", at positions 568 to 774 of the family's 1533-position model. The record is from RNAcentral.
CAUGUAGGCGGUUAUAAAGCUUGAUGUGAAAUCUCUGGGCUCAACCCAGAAACUGCAUUGAGAACUGUAUGACUAGAGUUACUAAGGGGAAACUAGAAUUCCAGGUGUAGGGGUGGAAUCUGUAGAUAUCUGGAAGAAUACCAAUGGCGAAGGCAAGUUUCUAGUAGAUAACUGACGCUGAGGUGCGAAGGUGUGGGGAGCGAACA